Molecule: ribosomal RNA, 442 nt
Filed under: Pseudomonas aeruginosa
Lineage: Bacteria; Pseudomonadati; Pseudomonadota; Gammaproteobacteria; Pseudomonadales; Pseudomonadaceae
Description: bacterial SSU rRNA
Rfam family: Bacterial small subunit ribosomal RNA
Source: RNAcentral
AUUGAACGCUGGCGGCAGGCCUAACACAUGCAAGUCGAGUGGAUGAAGGGAGCUUGCUCCUGGAUUCAGCGGCGGACGGGUGAGUAAUGCCUAGGAAUCUGCCUGUAGUGGGGGAUAACGUCCGGAAACGGGCGCUAAUACCGCAUACGUCCUGAGGGAGAAAGUGGGGGAUCUUCGGACCUCACGCUAUCAGAUGAGCCUAGGUCGGAUUAGCUAGUUGGUGGGGUAAAGGCCUACCAAGGCGACGAUCCGUAACUGGUCUGAGAGGAUGAUCAGUCACACUGGAACUGAGACACGGUCCAGACUCCUACGGGAGGCAGCAGUGGGGAAUAUUGGACAAUGGGCGAAAGCCUGAUCCAGCCAUGCCGCGUGUGUGAAGAAGGUCUUCGGAUUGUAAAGCACUUUAAGUUGGGAGGAAGGGCAGUAAGUUAAUACCUUGCUG